AAGAGCCACUCAGUCAUUGAGGCGAUCUGUGAUCGAGUUCCUCUUGUGUCUCCAGAGAAUAGUAGCGUGAGAACGAGGGUUUUUCAAUAUGGCGUCCAGGAUCGCACUCCUGUGCCUUCUUGGCUUGCUGGUAGCAUCACCUGCUAUUGCUGACUCCGGCAUCUACUACCAGCUUGAAUUGAUGGUAUGGACAUGGAGCUAUAUAUAUAUAUAUUUCUUCAUAUACUAUGCACCAUUUUAUACUGUUAUUAGGUCUACAGUCUACUCCAUCCGUUCCAAAUUAUAAAUCAUUUUGAUCUUUUUAGAUUCAUAUAUAAUAAUAUCUAUUAACCUAGAAAAACUAAAACGACCUUUAAUUUGGAAUGGAUGGAAUACUAUAUAAAGUAAUUAAGAUCAGCGCAACAUCUAUAUAUCUAUACAGGAAAUGCACGAUAAAUUCUUCCUAAAACUUGUGCCCUGCUAACUAAUAAGAAGUGGAAAUUACCUUCAUGGAUAUGGACUAGAUCGUGCUAAAAUAUGUAACAAGUGAAAUGAACGAGAACAACUCAGGAGAUGUGCAAUGAUAAGGGUACUGAACACGUACGUCACGGACCACCGGCACGUUUUGUCCGAUCCGGACGCUAUGAUUAGACUGGUGAGGCAAGUUAUCGCACUGCCCCAUUGUCUUCACGGCCAAUGGGCAUAUUUGGCUUCACCUGCUAAAGUUUAGCGCCUGUCAUAUCAGAUGUUUGAUACUAAUCAGGAGUAUUAAAUUUAGGUUAAUGACAAAACUAAUUGCAUAGAUGGAGUCUAAUUCGCGAGACGAAUCUAUUAAGCCUAAUUAGUCCAUGAUUUGACAAUGUGGUGCUACGGUAACCAUUUGCUAAUGAUGGAUUAAUUAGCCUUAAUAGAUUCGUCUCGCGAAUUAGCCUAGGGGUUCUGCAAUUAGUUUUAUAAUUAGCUCAUAUUUAGUCUUUCUAAUUAGCAUCCGAAUAUCCGAUGUAACACGGCUAAAGUUUAGCACCUGGUAUCCAAACACCCUCAACAUAAUGGAUGAUGUAAGACAGAAGAGAACGAUCGCUUUUGUCUUGUAGGAACUUGCAUUGGUUACUCUCGAUCGUUCAUGGGCUAAACGAUCGCGCACUCUCUGCUAACAUGAUGACUAGAUGAGCGCAGUGGCCAGUGAUUUUCCUGUUCAACUCUUGUAAUGCAUGCAUGGUGUUCAUGGACGCAGUGGCCAGGGGCGUACUGCGAGCAGAGCAGCGCCGGAUGCUGCAAGCCGACGACCAGCGCCAAGCCGGCGCGCGACUUCUUCAUCUCGGGCUUCACCGUCUACAACGCAACGACCGACGCUCCGGUGAACCGCUGCAGCAACAAAGCUCCUUUCGACCCUAACGAGGUAUACAACCUACAAUUUGAAACGGAUGGAAUAUAUAAGACUCUCGCUUGAGCUCGCCAAACAUACAUACCAUGGAGUACAUAUAUCUGUAUCUCGUAAUUCACGUUUGUGACAAUGUCUUUGACUCUUUGUGCUAUGCUACGCGUACAAUACAUUGGCAGAUUACGGACAUCCCAGGCCUGAAGCAGUACUGGAGCAACAUCAAGUGCCCCAGCAACAACGGCCAGGGCGGCUGGAAGAACGCCUGGAAGAUGUCCGGCGCCUGCUCCGGCCUCAAGGAGAAGGACUUCUUCGAGAAAGCCCUCGAGUUCCGCAGCCGGCUCAACCCUCUCGUUCGCCUCCAGAAAAACGGUACGUGAACAUAUAUAGAACUGAGUUUCAUGCACGAGUGUUCGAAAUCGGAUGACCACCAAAUGACACAUGCGUACUGUUUUUGAUGGCUUAUUAUGAUUAAUUUGCAGGUAUCCAGCCGGACUUCGAGCUGUACAGCUUGAAGAAGAUCAAGAAGGUGUUCCAGUCGGGCAUCAACGCGACGCCGCUGGUCCAGUGCAGCAUGGGCCCCUUCAACAAGUACAUGCUGUACAAGCUCUACUUCUGCGCGACGGAGCAGGGCACGUUCAUCGACUGCCCCGUGGCGCCCAAGUACACCUGCUCGGCGGAGAUCCUCUUCCACCCUUUCAAGAGGUGGAUGCUCCAGCAGCUCCAGGGGGAGGACGCCGAGUUUGCCGCCGCGGCCGACGGCGACGACCAGGACGCCUUCGUGCUGCCCGGCGUGGCCAUGGAUAUAUAACCGAUGGAUCGAUCGGAAGCAUAUGCGUGUCGUCGAGGAGAGACCCCACCUGAUCUCCGAUCCAUCCAGAUCGUCUUUCAAUUCGUGAGUUUGCGUUUCGGUGGCGUACGCGUGCAUGGAAUAAUGUCGUUGUUCCUGCUCCCCCGAGCAAACAACAACGCAGUGUAGUAAUAUGUGAAAAUAAUUAAACACUGAGACGUACGAAGACAAUAAUGGUACGGUGAUCUCCUCCUCUUCUACGACGAGUUCCUUCUAUUCCUACUCAUCAGGGAAGAUGUGGCCGUGUUUAUCUAGCUCUUCUGCUUUGCGCCGCCUCACCAAGCUCACUGCCCGCAGCGUCGCCGCAUGGCCACAUCCCACAUCUUAAAUUCGGUGGUUCAAUAACAUAAAUAUGGUCCCCUGGUCCCGCAAAAUUACGUUGACUGCCGCUUAAAUUCUACGUUGAUUUGCAUCAAUAUUCUUCAUGCUGUGUUAUAUAUUAUAAAAGAGAUCCUUCCUAAUCAAGUGACAAUUUGCUGU
This 2687-nucleotide long non-coding RNA is filed under the name Setaria viridis. Its description in RNAcentral is "long non-coding RNA (SVIR_LNC002319)". The record is from RNAcentral. Lineage: Eukaryota; Viridiplantae; Streptophyta; Magnoliopsida; Poales; Poaceae.